UGUGACUGCGUACCUUUUGUAUAAUGGGUCAGCGACUUAUAUUCUGUAGCAAGGUUAACCGUAUAGGGGAGCCGUAGGGAAACCGAGUCUUAACCGGGCGUUAAGUUGCAGGGUAUAGACCCGAAACCCGGUGAUCUAGCCAUGGGCAGGUUGAAGGUUGGGUAACACUAACUGGAGGACCGAACCGACUAAUGUUGAAAAAUUAGCGGAUGACCUGUGGCUGGGGGUGAAAGGCCAAUCAAACCGGGAGAUAGCUGGUUCUCCCCGAAAGCUAUUUAGGUAGCGCCUCGUGAAUUCAUCUCCGGGGGUAGAGCACUGUUUCGGCUAGGGGGCCAUCCCGGCUUACCAACCCGAUGCAAACUGCGAAUACCGGAGAAUGUUAUCACGGGAGACACACGGCGGGUGCUAACGUCCGUCGUGAAGAGGGAAACAACCCAGACCGCCAGCUAAGGUCCCAAAGUCAUGGUUAAGUGGGAAACGAUGUGGGAAGGCCCAGACAGCCAGGAUGUUGGCUUAGAAGCAGCCAUCAUUUAAAGAAAGCGUAAUAGCUCACUGGUCGAGUCGGCCUGCGCGGAAGAUGUAACGGGGCUAAACCAUGCACCGAAGCUGCGGCAGCGACGCUUAUGCGUUGUUGGGUAGGGGAGCGUUCUGUAAGCCUGCGAAGGUGGCCUGUGAGGGUUGCUGGAGGUAUCAGAAGUGCGAAUGCUGACAUAAGUAACGAUAAAGCGGGUGAAAAGCCCGCUCGCCGGAAGACCAAGGGUUCCUGUCCAACGUUAAUCGGGGCAGGGUGAGUCGACCCCUAAGGCGAGGCCGAAAGGCGUAGUCGAUGGGAAACGGGUUAAUAUUCCCGUACUUGGUGUUACUGCGAAGGGGGGACGGAGAAGGCUAUGUUGGCCGGGCGACGGUUGUCCCGGUUUAAGCGUGUAGGUGUGUGUUCCAGGUAAAUCCGGUUCACUUUAACACUGAGGCGUGACGACGAGGCACUACGGUGCUGAAGCAACAAAUGCCCUGCUUCCAGGAAAAGCCUCUAAGCAUCAGGUAACAUCAAAUCGUACCCCAAACCGACACAGGUGGUCAGGUAGAGAAUACCAAGGCGCUUGAGAGAACUCGGGUGAAGGAACUAGGCAAAAUGGUGCCGUAACUUCGGGAGAAGGCACGCUGACAC
Molecule: ribosomal RNA, 1165 nt
Filed under: Salmonella enterica
Lineage: Bacteria; Pseudomonadati; Pseudomonadota; Gammaproteobacteria; Enterobacterales; Enterobacteriaceae
Description: partial 23S ribosomal RNA
Rfam family: Bacterial large subunit ribosomal RNA
Source: RNAcentral